UACGUAGGGGGCUAGCGUUGUCCGGAUUUAUUGGGCGUAAAGAGCGUGUAGGCGGCCAGGUAGGUCUGCUGUGAAAACUCGAGGCUCAACCUCGAGACGUCGGCGGAAACCAUCUGGCUAGAGUCCGGAAGAGGAGAGUGGAAUUCCACGUGUAGCGGUGAAAUGCGUAGAGAUGUGGAGGAACACCAGUGGCGAAGGCGACUUUCUGGUCUGUAACUGACACUGAGGCGCGAAAGCGUGGGGAGCGAACAGG
This 253-nucleotide ribosomal RNA is filed under the name uncultured bacterium. RNAcentral describes it as "partial 16S ribosomal RNA". It matches the Rfam family "Bacterial small subunit ribosomal RNA", at positions 524 to 776 of the family's 1533-position model. The record is from RNAcentral.